This 1245-nucleotide ribosomal RNA is filed under the name metagenome. Its description in RNAcentral is "bacterial LSU rRNA". It matches the Rfam family "Bacterial large subunit ribosomal RNA", at positions 1564 to 2818 of the family's 2925-position model. The record is from RNAcentral.
UGAAUACGAGAUGCUACGGCGUCGAAGCAGUCUAUGUCAUACUUCCAAGAAAAGCUUGCACUGUCAUAAACAAAUAAUGCCUGUACCAUAACCGACACAGGUGGGUAGGUAGAGUAUACUAAGGGGCGCGAGAUAACUCUCUCUAAGGAACUCGGCAAAAUGACUCCGUAACUUCGGGAGAAGGAGUGCCUUAUUUAUAAGGUUGCAAUAACAAGAUCCAAGCAACUGUUUACCAAAAACACAGGUCUCCGCUAAGUCGUAAGACGAUGUAUGGGGGCUGACGCCUACCCAGUGCCAGAAGGUUAAAGAAGUUGGUUAGCAUCCGCGAAGCUGAUAACUGAAGCCCUGGUGAACGGCGGCCGUAACUAUAACGGUCCUAAGGUAGCGAAAUUCCUUGUCGGGUAAGUUCCGACCCGCACGAAAGGCGUAAUGAUUUGGAUACUGUCUCGGAGAGGGGCUCGGUGAAAUAGACUUGUCUGUGAAGAUGCGGACUACCUGCACCAGGACAGAAAGACCCUAUGAAGCUUUACUGUAACCUGAAAUUGAAAUUGGACUUUACUUGCGCAGUAUAGGUGGGAGGCGUUGAGAAUAUUCUUGCGGGAUUAUUGGAGCCAUCAGUGAGAUACCACUCUUGUAAUGUUAGAUUUCUAACUUUGUAUCAUUAUCUGGUCAAAGAACAGUUUCAGGCGGGCAGUUUGACUGGGGCGGUCGCCUCCUAAACGGUAACGGAGGCGCACAAAGGUUUCCUCUGAACGGGUAGAAAUCGUAUCUAGAGUGUAAAGGCAUAAGGAAGCUUGACUGUGAGACCUACAAGUCGAGCAGGGACGAAAGUCGGUCUUAGUGAUCUGACGGUGCUGAGUGGAAAGGCCGUCACUCAACGGAUAAAAGUUACUCUAAGGAUAACAGGCUGAUCUCCCCCAAGAGUUCACAUCGACGGGGAGGUUUGGCACCUCGAUGUCGGCUCAUCGCAUCCUGGGGCGGUAGUACGUCCCAAGGGUUGGGCUGUUCGCCCAUGAAAGCGGUACGCGAGCUGGGUUCAGAACGUCGUGAGACAGUUCGGUCCAUAUCCGGUGUAGGCGUUAGAAUAUUGAGAGGAGCCUUCUUUAGUACGAGAGGACCGAGAAGGACAUACCUCUGGUGUACCAGUUAUCGUGCCAACGGUAAACGCUGGGUAGCUAUGUGUGGAGUGGAUAACCGCUGAAAGCAUCUAAGUGGGAAGCCCACCUCAAGAUAAGUAUUCUCAUC